AAAUCUAUAAUUCUGACCCAUACAAUGUAUUUUUGGCUAUUGCUACAAAUAUACCCCAGUGACUUAAGACUGGUUUUGUGCUCCAGGGUCACAUAUGAGAAUGGUUAUGAGCCUGAACUAAUGAAGAAGAAGAAGAAGAAAAAAAAAAGAAAAUAGGAGAAAAAAUAUAAAUUUACAGGAAAAUCUACUUAAGCUUUCAUCUUCUUGCUCUCUGAAUAUCUGAAACACAUACAAUCCUAGUUUGAAGCUACACAGUUCUAUAAAGUCUUCCAAUUGUUGCUUUCCAGUUCUAUUUUCUGAUUUUAUUUUCACAUGAAAAGUUUGUCAGCAUAUUCCACUUAUUUACUCUUAAUUUAUGCCCAAAAAUGUCUGGAAAGUUCCACCCAAAAUUGAAAAAGACAGGAAAACAAGAUGAGGAAAGAUGUUGCUUAUGUAUCGCUUGUGAGUCUCUGAAGCUAACCACCCACUCCAGCACUAUUCGGCACAUCAAAAAAGCUUGAGUUUCUGAUGGAAAGCCAAACAUUUCCUAUCCUUUUUUAUGGUCUCUCUCUCUCUCUCUCUCUCUCUCUCUCUCUCUCUCUCUCUCUCUCUCUUGUCUUCUGCAGCUCUGUGACCAGCAUGGGAGGAAGCAUGAAGCAACACUGCAGUGAUCCUAUUCUUAAGAUGUUUGAAGGAGUCCAAGAAAUGAAAGUGUCUGGGCGUCAGAGACCAUAAAUCAUAGAGAUCUCAAACUUGAUGGGAUGCUUUCAACUCAGGUGAACACACACAAAUCUGUCUAAAUCUGUCACUAGGUGGCGCUAUGAUAUGUGCAGUUGUGGUUUAGUUCAUCAUUUAAGAACCAAUUAAGGGCUAGGAUCAAAAUUCCUUUUCCUCUGGAUCAAUAAAUGGGAAUAUAUUUGGUUUUAUUUACCACUGGUAAAAGUUUGCACCAUUUUGAAUUUUCUGAAAACCUUUUUUCAAACUCAGUUCUUCUAUUCCAAAUGAUAAAUAAGCUAUGAAUAUGAGACCAUUUCCAGGUCUCAUAUUCCUGGCUGGCAGGCUCUGAUUUCAGUGGUUGUGAGCGUGCAGGGCUUGUUUGGAGACACCGUUGGUCAUGGGUAAUGUGGACAGCGAGGUCAGGAAGGUUUGGUCUCUGUGGUGUUGAAUCUGCUUCUGAUGGCUGACUAUGAAGUGAGGAUGGCCACAUCAGCCCAGUGGAACGUCCUCCAGCGGUACACCAGAACCACUUUAUAUCUGUAUAUAUGACUCUACCUUUCACUCUUCCUCCCUCUGAAGGAAGCUCUGUGGUGUGGAGUGUUGCAAGCGGGAGCCCAUAAGAGCAGCCAUACUGACCUGCUGACCACAGAUCAGGACGUGCCAGUGCUCUGUGCUAUCUCAUUCACACUGAUUAUACCUCACACUGCCAUUAGAGCAGCUGCCGGACUACUGACCGCUUGGAUAGAUACAUGUUUGUGUGUAUUCUGUCCAUUGAUUCCAGAUGCACACUGCUGCUAAAAUUGCUUGUCAGUCCACUUAAUGUGCUUAAAAGAAUAAUUCACCCAAAAAUUACAAUUUUCUGAAAAUGUGUUCACCCUCAGGCCAUCCAAGAUGUAGUUGUGUUUGUUUGCUUAAUAGAACAUAUUUGAAGAAAUUUAGCCUUCUAGAGUCCUCUAUUCAUUGCUUUCCCAGUCAAAAAGUUGUGUGAGAAAUAUGCACAGAUCAAGCAAUGAUACAAACAAAAAGAGACUGAAAGAUUAAACAAAUGUGUCUGUGGAUUUCGAUGUGAAAGGACAACAGGUGAUUAACUUUUUCAUUAGAAUGUUAAUGUUAAUAUGGAUUAUGGCCAUUUUGUCCAGAAGCGAUGGUUUAAAGUUAAAACGCCUGAGUGAUGGAUUUGUUUGUUAAAAACAUGUUUGGACUCUCAUUCUGAUGGCACCCAUUCACUGCAGAGGAUGAGCAAGUGAUGUAAUGCUAAAUUUCUCCAAAUCUGUUUUGAUGAAGAAACAAACUCAUCAAUAUCUUCGAUGGCCUGAGGUCAGUUUGAUUUAAUAUUAUUAUUUAAGUAAAUUAAUAGACUUAUUUAAUUGAUCAAAAGUGACGAUAAAUAUAUUUACAAUAUUACAUGUGACACUCAAGACUGGAGUAUAAUGGCUGCUGAAAAUUGAGCUUUUCUAUCAAAGGAAUAUGUUAUAUUUUAAAAUGCAUUCACAUAGAAAACAGUUAUUUUAAGUUGUAACAAUAUUUCACAGUAUUACCGUUUUCUACUGUAUUCUUCAUCACAUAAAUCAGCCUUUGUGAGUGUAAAGGGUGUUAAAAUGUUUAUUCAAUAAUUAAUUGAAAACUGAUACCUCCCUAUUUUUUUUUUAUGUGAACACCAAUAGUUCAGAAUCAGUUAACCGCCAUGCCAGCGGAUGGCGCUUGAGCGCUCCCGUGAAGCACACUAUAGAGACUAGUUUUUUCCCGGGUGCGACCUCAGAAGUAAAAAAACUGACGCACCAAAGGAACGACACUCAUUUUGUCUGUCUCUUUAUUUAUUCACAGUGUUUUCACAGAUACACAGUGCUUCACUGCCUGUGUGUCCUUUGUUGCCAGCCCAGAUAUCCCCUAGGUCUGAGGCCGGUAACAAUUGGGGGCUGCGUCCGGGAUUAGCACAUCUCGCCUGGGACGGUUGUCAUAGUAACGUGGGAAUCCUGCACCCAGUGUUUCAGGGAAGACUACUUCGCCAAGUGUCAUCCAGAGAACAACU
Cyprinus carpio carpio is the source of this 2725-nucleotide long non-coding RNA. NCBI's taxonomy places the organism in Eukaryota, Metazoa, Chordata, Actinopteri, Cypriniformes, Cyprinidae. The record is from Ensembl.